UACGAAGGGGGCUAGCGUUGUUCGGAAUCACUGGGCGUAAAGGGUGCGCAGGCGGGUUCAUAAGUCAGGGGUGAAAUCCCGAGGCUCAACCUCGGAACUGCCUUUGAUACUGUGGAUCUUGAGUCCGGAAGAGGUGAGUGGAACUGCGAGUGUAGAGGUGAAAUUCGUAGAUAUUCGCAAGAACACCGGUGGCGAAGGCGGCGACCUGGUCCUUUGACUGACGCUGAGGUGCGAAAGCGUGGGGAGCAAACAGG
Molecule: ribosomal RNA, 254 nt
Filed under: uncultured bacterium
Lineage: Bacteria
Description: partial 16S ribosomal RNA
Rfam family: Bacterial small subunit ribosomal RNA
Source: RNAcentral